CCUGUUUUCACCUUGAGUAUUUUACAAAAGGAUACAGAGAGGCUGUCACUACUGUAGUUAUUGUCGUGGUAAAUUAACUGUUGCACGGCCCCCAAAUUGCUCCAUGGCAGCCAAGGGGAGCGGAGCCUACGAGGAUUCUGGAACCCAGGGUUCUGGCGUAGGUCAGAGGCGAUGGCUGGAGGGAACAGUCCCGCUGGUCCUGGUGAGCUAGGCCCUCCUGGGUCUAGAUCCUGGGCCCCAGGUUACCCUUAAGAGCGGUGGGCGCGUAGCGAACGGAGUGAUCAGCCCGGAACCCCCGAGUUCCUGGGCAUACGUGGACCUUCGUUCCCUGACUGGGGUCCUGUGCACACAGACAAGAUGGGCUUUUACAGUUCAGAUUGGAACAAACCACCCUGGCAGCAGAAAUCCACCUCAAGAUGAAAUAAUAUCUACCUGGCCCUCUAGAGGAAUAAGGAAGAUAUGAAGACCAUGAAGAAACUGGCUUCAUGGCUGAGGGUCUGGAGAGGUGAAGAGAUGGCCACGUCUCCAGCCUUAUGAGAGAAUGUUCAGGUUUACUUUCUAACAAUAUGCUGGUUCUAAGAAAAGAAGGGGAAGCCCCACAGCCGUUAUGGCAAUAAGACACUCUGCCCCAAGAUAUCCAGCAGAGCUUCACAGCCCCACUUACAGCU
Molecule: long non-coding RNA, 668 nt
Filed under: Heterocephalus glaber (naked mole-rat)
Lineage: Eukaryota; Metazoa; Chordata; Mammalia; Rodentia; Bathyergidae
Description: lncRNA (ENSHGLG00100050985.1)
Source: RNAcentral